Molecule: unclassified non-coding RNA, 213 nt
Filed under: Hevea brasiliensis (rubber tree)
Lineage: Eukaryota; Viridiplantae; Streptophyta; Magnoliopsida; Malpighiales; Euphorbiaceae
Source: RNAcentral
AGAGAGAGAGAGAGAGAAGAGAGAUGAAAUGGGCUAAUGUGGGGAAUGGAGAAUUCUAGACAAUAAUAGGAGAGAGUGACGGUAGGUGUAGUGGAGGCGUCUGCUUUUUUUUUUUUUUAACAGGAGGCGUCUGUUUGUGGUGAAAUAAUUUAGCUUUUGUGUUACAUGUGUAUUUUACACCGUAUAUGUAAAACAGGAGAGAGAGAGAGAGAG